This 497-nucleotide ribosomal RNA is filed under the name uncultured bacterium. RNAcentral describes it as "partial 16S ribosomal RNA". It matches the Rfam family "Bacterial small subunit ribosomal RNA", at positions 28 to 507 of the family's 1533-position model. The record is from RNAcentral.
GAUGAACGCUGGCGGCGUGCCUAAUACAUGCAAGUCGAGCGAACAGAUAAGGAGCUUGCUCCUUUGACGUUAGCGGCGGACGGGUGAGUAACACGUGGAUAACCUACCUAUAAGACUGGGAUAACUUCGGGAAACCGGAGCUAAUACCGGAUAACAUAUUGAACCGCAUGGUUCAAUAGUGAAAGGCGGCUUUGCUGUCACUUAUAGAUGGAUCCGCGCCGUAUUAGCUAGUUGGUAAGGUAACGGCUUACCAAGGCAACGAUACGUAGCCGACCUGAGAGGGUGAUCGGCCACACUGGAACUGAGACACGGUCCAGACUCCUACGGGAGGCAGCAGUAGGGAAUCUUCCGCAAUGGGCGAAAGCCCGACGGAGCAACGCCGCGUGAGUGAUGAAGGUCUUCGGAUCGUAAAACUCUGUUAUCAGGGAAGAACAAAUGUGUAAGUAACUGUGCACAUCUUGACGGUACCUGAUCAGAAAGCCACGGCUAACUACGUG